RNAcentral lists this ribosomal RNA (467 nucleotides) under uncultured bacterium. RNAcentral describes it as "partial 16S ribosomal RNA". It matches the Rfam family "Bacterial small subunit ribosomal RNA", at positions 28 to 507 of the family's 1533-position model. The record is from RNAcentral.
GACGAACGCUGGCGGCGUGCUUAACACAUGCAAGUCGAACGGAAAGGCUCCAGCUUGCUGGCGUACUCGAGUGGCGAACGGGUGAGUAACACGUGGGUAAUCUGCCCUGCACUCUGGGAUAAGCCUGGGAAACUGGGUCUAAUACUGGAUAUGACCUUUCUCCUUAUGGGGUUUGGUGGAAAGUUUUUCGGUGUAGGAUGAGCCCGCGGCCUAUCAGCUUGUUGGUGGGGUGAUGGCCUACCAAGGCGACGACGGGUAGCCGGCCUGAGAGGGUGAUCGGCCACAUUGGGACUGAGAUACGGCCCAGACUCCUACGGGAGGCAGCAGUGGGGAAUAUUGCACAAUGGGCGGAGGCCUGAUGCAGCGACGCCGCGUGAGGGAUGACGGCCUUCGGGUUGUAAACCUCUUUCAGCAGGGACGAAGCGUAAGUGACGGUACCUGCAGAAGAAGCACCGGCUAACUAUGUG